Molecule: transfer RNA, 68 nt
Filed under: Physomerus sp.
Lineage: Eukaryota; Metazoa; Arthropoda; Insecta; Hemiptera; Coreidae
Description: tRNA-Glu
Rfam family: tRNA
About the family: Transfer RNA (tRNA) molecules are approximately 80 nucleotides in length. Their secondary structure includes four short double-helical elements and three loops (D, anti-codon, and T loops). Further hydrogen bonds mediate the characteristic L-shaped molecular structure. tRNAs have two regions of fundamental functional importance: the anti-codon, which is responsible for specific mRNA codon recognition, and the 3' end, to which the tRNAs corresponding amino acid is attached (by aminoacyl-tRNA synthetases). tRNAs cope with the degeneracy of the genetic code in two manners: having more than one tRNA (with a specific anti-codon) for a particular amino acid; and 'wobble' base-pairing, i.e. permitting non-standard base-pairing at the 3rd anti-codon position.
Source: RNAcentral
AUUUAUAUAGUUUAACUUAAAACAAUUCAUUUUCAAUGAAUAAAUGAGAAAUAAAAUCUCUAUAAGUA